RNAcentral lists this ribosomal RNA (318 nucleotides) under Triticum aestivum (bread wheat). RNAcentral describes it as "partial small subunit ribosomal RNA". The record is from RNAcentral. Lineage: Eukaryota; Viridiplantae; Streptophyta; Magnoliopsida; Poales; Poaceae.
AUGGAGGUUUUCAUGAUGGCUAAUUUGAUUUAUUAUUAUGGUUGUUCUGAUGGUGUGCUUCUGCUGUUUGAACUGAAGUUGUGUAUCGCCCAUCAACCUGGUCUGUGUUUGUAUGCCACUGCCAUGACACAGCAGGCUACUUGGCAUGCUCAGCGUGUUUACGUCGGUGGACUUCCUCCAAUCGCUAAUGAACAGAUGGUUGCUCUAUUCUUCAAUCAAGUUAUGGCUGCUAUCGGGGGAAACACAUUUGGUCCAGGAACACCGACAAUCGAGCUUUGUGCACUAGAUGUUGCUGCAGUGCUAUCUGUUUGGCCAUAG